AUUUUCAAUUUCUCGCUCAUCUUCGCUGUCCCAGUCAAAAUUGUCAUCCUCUCCGCAUAAUGAAUCUCCAUCCUGCAGUCAUUCAAUCAUUUCCCCAAUAAUUUAGUCAUUUCCUUCCAAGCUACAGCUUUGACCAAGACUUCAAGCAGCAGCUGUAAGUACACAUACAGUGGCCAGAGUAUAAUUAAUAGAUUCAAAACCCAUAAGCAAUGGCUCUCACUAAGAAUCCACAUGCAGAAUUUGGGAACAAUAGAUUCCACUUGAUUCCCAUUGAUAUCAUACACUAUAAAACAAGAAGCUAACUAGUAACUGCAAGUAUAGACCCACAAAUGUUAGAUUAAGAUUUUUCACAUGAUAAAGGCUACAAAACCAAUCAACAAGACAACAACUCCGCUUAUAGGUCCUUUAAAAUCCCAUCAGUAAAUAAAAAUUUUAUCAGCAAACUUAUUAAUUAAAAAACCUUACAUGCCAAAUACGAAAAAAAACUUCACUUUGUUAUUAGGCUUGAUACAAACAACCAAGCAAAAUACUUACUGCAAAUGUUCUCCAUGAAAACAGAACAAGAAUUUUCACACAUUCAAGCAAUUCAUGAAACUGCACAAUAAUUUAUAGAGUGCACUUUUACAUGUCUUAUUGAGCAUUGUUCCCUUAAGAACUAAGAAGGAAGGGGAACCCACUAACAAAAUGACAUAUCUAAAUUAAAGCCAUAAAAAUUAUGAUCUAAUUAGAACUUCUAAACUCUAAACCAAACAGAAAAAAAACAAAAAAACAAAAAACAAAGAAAAAAGAAAAAGAGAAAGAAAAAGAGAAAUCUUCCAGUAAAAAGUACAAUAUAACGCUAAUCAACAAGGAAGAAGAAGAAAGUAAUAAAACUAGAAAGAAAUUGACGUCUUUGAGCAGUUUUUGAUCCUGAACUGCUUUAAAACCUAUAUAUAAUGUCCCUCCACCAUGCAGGAACGAAUGCAAGACACAAAUCGGCAGAGACAGAGAGAUAGAGAAGACUUUGGUGAGAGUGAUAGAACUCGUGAAAUUUGAGAAGAGAGGAUCUCUU
Molecule: unclassified non-coding RNA, 1051 nt
Filed under: Hevea brasiliensis (rubber tree)
Lineage: Eukaryota; Viridiplantae; Streptophyta; Magnoliopsida; Malpighiales; Euphorbiaceae
Source: RNAcentral